Molecule: ribosomal RNA, 465 nt
Filed under: uncultured bacterium
Lineage: Bacteria
Description: partial 16S ribosomal RNA
Rfam family: Bacterial small subunit ribosomal RNA
Source: RNAcentral
CCUACGGGAGGCAGCAGUAGGGAAUCUUCCACAAUGGGCGAAAGCCUGAUGGAGCAACGCCGCGUGGGUGAAGAAGGUCUUCGGAUCGUAAAACCCUGUUGUUAGAGAAGAAAGUGCGUGAGAGUAACUGUUCACGUUUCGACGGUAUCUAACCAGAAAGCCACGGCUAACUACGUGCCAGCAGCCGCGGUAAUAAGUAGGUGGCAAGCGGUAUCCGGAUUUAUUGGGCGUAAAGGGAACGCAGGCGGUCUUUUAAGUCUGAUGGGAAAGCCUUCGGCUUAACCGGAGUAGUGCAUUGGAAACUGGGAGACUUGAGUGCAGAAGAGGAGAGUGGAACUCCAUGUGUAGCGGUGAAAUGCGUAGAUAUAUGGAAGAACACCAGUGGCGAAAGCGGCUCUCUGGUCUGUAACUGACGCUGAGGUUCGAAAGCGUGGGUAGCAAACAGGAUUAGAUACCCCAGUAGUC